Molecule: ribosomal RNA, 390 nt
Filed under: uncultured bacterium
Lineage: Bacteria
Description: bacterial SSU rRNA
Rfam family: Bacterial small subunit ribosomal RNA
Source: RNAcentral
GACGAACGCUGGCGGCGUGCCUAACACAUGCAAGUGGAGCGACGAACCAGGCUUCGGCCUGGGGCAAAGCCGCGAACGGGUGAGUAACACGUGGGUAACCUGCCCUGAUGAUUGGGACAACCCGAGGAAACUCGGGCUAAUACCAAAUGUGCCCUUCGGCCAUAAGGCCGCCGGGGAAAGGAAGCUUCGGCCUCCGCAUCUGGAUGGGCCCGCGGCCCAUUAGCUUGUUGGUGAGGUAACGGCNCACCAAGGCGACGAUGGGUAGCUGGUCUGAGAGGACGAUCAGCCACACUGGGACUGAGACACGGCCCAGACUCCUACGGGAGGCAGCAGUGGGGAAUCUUGCGCAAUGCGCGAAAGCGUGACGCAGCAACGCCGCGUGGGGAAGAA